CCUUGCAGAAUCCUUCACUAGUGGUGGAUGCAUGCUUGGUGCACCAAUGCCAACAUAACUGUCCUUGGGAGCAUUUCCACUGUCAACAGGCAUAGCCUCCCUAGGAGUGUAGCGGGUUUGGGAGAAGACAGUUCUGCCCUUCUCGUAGUGCGAUUUGGAACUGUAGGAAUAGAUUGGGAUGACACCCAACUGUUCAACAAUGCUGGCCUGAGAGCUACCAGAGACACCAUCUUCAGUGCUUUCGUAGUGCUUCUGCUGAGACAUUGGGGCAAGUUGCUUCUGGGGCAUUUGAGCUACAUGCCAUAAUUGCUGAGGCACGGGGGUCAGUUGCUUCUGCGGUAGAGGCAUGGAGGCCAGUUGCUGCUGGGACAUUUGAGCUGGAUACCACACUUGCUUGGGUAUGGCGGUCGGUUUCUCCUGCGGAAGAGGCAUGGAGGCCGGUUGCUUCUGCUGCUGGGGAAAUUGAGCUGGAUGCCACACUUGCUGAUGUGUCUGAAGCAUGGCGGUCAGUUCAAUUUGCUGCUGAGGUUCAGUAGCUGGUUGCUUCUGCUGCUGAGGCAUUUGAACUGGAUGCCACACUUUCUGAUGUGCCUGCGGCAUGGCGGUCAGUGCAGCGACUUGUUGCUUCUGGACCAUUUUAGCUGGAUACCACACGUCGUGAGGCUGCUGGGGCAUAGGGGCCGGUUGCUUCUGCGCCAGAUGCCACACUUGCUGAAGCAUGGCAGCCGGUUGCUUAUGCUGCUGGGGAAUUUGAGUUGUUUGCCACAGUUGGGGUAUGGCGGUCAGUUCCUUCUGCGGUAGAUGCAUAGGGGCUGGUUGCUUCUGCUCCGGGGGAAAUUGAUCUGGAUGCCACACUUGCUGAGGUGGCUGGGGCAUUGCGGUCAGUUCAAUUUGCUGCUGAGGUUCAGCGGCUAAUUGCUUCUGCAGCUGGGGCUUUUGAGCUGGAUACCAUGCUUGCAGGGGCAUGGCGGUCAGUUGUGUCUGCAGCAUUUGAGCUGGAUGCCACCCUUGCUGGGGCACGGCGGUCGGUUGCUUCUGCGGCAGAGGCAUGGAGGCCAGAUGCUUCUGGGGCAUUUGAGCUGGAUACCUAACUUGCUGGGGUAUAGUGGCCUGUUGCUUCUGCUGCUGAGGCUCAGCCGUCGGUUGCUGCUGAGGCUCAGCCGUCGGUUGCUGCUGAGGCUCAGCCGUCGGUUGCUGCUGAGGCUCGGCAGCCGUCGGUUGCUG
This 1224-nucleotide long non-coding RNA is filed under the name Salmo salar (Atlantic salmon). Its description in RNAcentral is "lncRNA (ENSSSAG00000109599.1)". The record is from RNAcentral. Lineage: Eukaryota; Metazoa; Chordata; Actinopteri; Salmoniformes; Salmonidae.